Gavialis gangeticus (Gharial) is the source of this 372-nucleotide long non-coding RNA. RefSeq lists it as uncharacterized. The transcript has 2 exons. Lineage: Eukaryota; Metazoa; Chordata; Crocodylia; Gavialidae. The record is from RefSeq and is a predicted model, not a curated record.
CGAGCUGCAGGACGUCAGCUUUGCUGAGCCCAGCUCACUUCUGGCUGCGGGCUAGCAGGGCUCAGUGCCUGGGUGCGGCUGGAGGGGUGGGAGCACACCGGAGACGUGUUUGCCCUGAGAAUGGGUUACUGGUUAACCAGUGUGCUAGCCUUGAGGAUGCUGCUGGCCGAAAGGAUGUGGAUUGACUGACCCGCUGGAGGCUGUCUCGUCUUCUGUGGCGAUCACGCGGGCGCUGACAGCAGCCCAGCACGGCAGGGUUCGCUGACAACAGAGCAAGCUCCUAAGACUCUCUGGAGAUGGCAUCCUAGACCCCAAGCACACCAGGAGAUUUCUCCGGACAGCUAGGAGCUGUAUGACACUGCAAUUUGGAGA